CGCUGGCGGCAGGCCUAACACAUGCAAGUCGAGCGGUAACAUUUCUAGCUUGCUAGAAGAUGACGAGCGGCGGACGGGUGAGUAAUGCUUGGGAACAUGCCUUGAGGUGGGGGACAACAGUUGGAAACGACUGCUAAUACCGCAUAAUGUCUACGGACCAAAGGGGGCUUCGGCUCUCGCCUUUAGAUUGGCCCAAGUGGGAUUAGCUAGUUGGUGAGGUAAUGGCUCACCAAGGCGACGAUCCCUAGCUGGUUUGAGAGGAUGAUCAGCCACACUGGGACUGAGACACGGCCCAGACUCCUACGGGAGGCAGCA
RNAcentral lists this ribosomal RNA (315 nucleotides) under Pseudoalteromonas tetraodonis. Its description in RNAcentral is "bacterial SSU rRNA". It matches the Rfam family "Bacterial small subunit ribosomal RNA", at positions 34 to 353 of the family's 1533-position model. Lineage: Bacteria; Pseudomonadati; Pseudomonadota; Gammaproteobacteria; Alteromonadales; Pseudoalteromonadaceae. The record is from RNAcentral.